Molecule: ribosomal RNA, 2316 nt
Filed under: Triticum aestivum (bread wheat)
Lineage: Eukaryota; Viridiplantae; Streptophyta; Magnoliopsida; Poales; Poaceae
Description: partial small subunit ribosomal RNA
Source: RNAcentral
AUGGACGCGGAGAGCGGCGGCGGUGCGGCGAGGGCGGCGCGCAGGAAGCCGUGGAGCGCGGAGCUGCUGCUGGCGUACCAGAGCCUCGGGGUGGUGUACGGCGACGUGGCGACGUCGCCGCUGUACGUGUUCAAGAGCGCCUUCGCCGGCGGGGACAUCGAGCAUUCCGCGGGGAACGAGGAGAUCUACGGCGUGCUAUCCCUCGUCUUCUGGACGUUGACCCUGAUCCCGCUCCUCAAGUACGUCUUCUUCGUGCUCCGCGCCGACGACCACGGCGAGGGCGGCACCUUCGCGCUCUACUCCCUCAUAUGCCGCCGCGUCCGCGCGGGGCUCCUCCCCGACGGCGACGAGCUCGCGGCCCGGCGCGAGGGCGCAUCGCCGCCCGCGCCCCUCUCGGCCGUGCGCGCCGCGCUGGAGCGGCACAGGGUCCUGCAGAGGAUGCUGCUGCUGCUCGCUCUGCUCGGGACGUGCAUGGUCAUCGGCGACGGCGUGCUCACCCCUGCCGUCUCUGUGUUCUCGGCGGUUUCCGGGCUGGAGCUGGAGCUGGACAAUGAGCAGCACGAAUAUAUAUUGCUACCGGUGACAUGCGCUAUAUUGGUGGGUUUAUUCACCCUGCAACACUACGGCACACACCGGGUCGGCUUUCUUUUCGCACCCAUCGUUUGCUUGUGGCUUCUCUGCAUCAGCAUCAUAGGGCUCUACAACAUCAUUCACUGGAAUCCACAUGUGUACCGAGCUCUUUCACCAUACUACGCGUACAAAUUUCUCCAGAAGACUCAAACAGGUGGCUGGAUGUCGCUGGGUGGGAUCCUUCUAUGCGUAACGGGUUCUGAAGCUAUGUAUGCAGACCUUGGACAUUUCUCUCAGUCUUCAAUCAAGAUAGCUUUCACAUCUUUAGUGUACCCAGCUCUGAUAUUGGCAUAUAUGGGACAAGCUGCUUACAUUUCAAGGCAUCACAAUUUUGAGAAUAUUAAUCAUAUUGGAUUUUACGUAUCAGUCCCAGAAAAAAUCAGAUGGCCUGUUCUGGUGAUUGCAAUUCUCGCAGCCGUUAUUGGGAGUCAAGCAGUUAUUACUGGCACAUUCUCAAUUAUCAAACAGUGUUGUUCCUUAAGUUGCUUCCCAAAGGUGAAGAUUGUGCAUACAUCCUCUACAGUACAUGGUCAGAUAUACAUACCAGAGAUCAAUUGGAUCUUGAUGAUACUAUGCCUGGCUGUUACUAUAGGCUUCAGAGAUACAAAGCACUUGACAAAUGCACAAGGUCUGGCGAUCAUAACUGUAAUGCUGGUCACUACUUGUUUGAUGUCACUGGUUAUUGUUCUUUGCUGGAACAAGAGCAUAGUGUUUUCUCUCGUGUUCCUUCUAUUCUUUGGUGCAAUUGAGGUUCUUUACUUCUCAGCAUCCCUUGUGAAAUUUCGCGAAGGGGCUUGGGUACCCAUUAUGCUCUCGUUAUUUUUCAUGAUAAUUAUGUGCGUGUGGCAUUAUGGUACCAUAAAGAAGUAUGAGUUUGAUGUCGAAAACAAGGUCUCUAUAAGUUGGCUCUUGAAUCUCGGCCCUUCCUUGGGGAUUGUUCGCGUCCGAGGGAUUGGUCUGAUACAUACAGAGCUUAUGUCUGGGAUUCCAGCCAUUUUCUCUCACUUUGUCACCAAUCUACCUGCAUUUCACCAGGUUCUGGUCUUUCUAUGCAUUAAAUCAGUGCCUAUACCACACAUCCGACCUGAGGAGCGAUUUUGGGUCGGCCGCGUCGGCCCAAAACAGUACCGUCUAUACAGGGUGGUUGUCCGAUACGGAUACCGCGACGUGCCGAAGGACGACAUAGAGUUUGAGAAGGACCUAGUGUGCAGCAUUGCAGAGUUCAUCCGCUGCGGCGACUCCGACGACCAAAACGGCUUACUGGACGGUGCCACAGACCAUACCUCUGAGAGGCUGUCUUCCAUCACUAAAGGCCUACCGUUUCAGGAGGACGAUGACAGUGAGAUCAAUGGAUCGGACACGUCGAUACUGUCCACGGGCAAGGAGACGUACCAGAACGCGGUAGGACCGAAGGCAAAGAGGGUGAGGUUCGCGCUCCCGAAGGACGCGCAGAUCGACAGCGAGGUCCGCAGCGAGCUGCAGGAGCUGACAGAUGCUAGAGAGGCAGGCAUGUCCUUCAUCACGGGGCGCGCGCACAUGAAGGCGAAAAGCGGGUCUGGCCUGGUGAAGAAGAUCGCGAUAAACUGCAUCUACGAGUUCCUGAGAAGGAACAGCCGAGGUUCUGCCACGGCAGCUAACAUACCUCAUGCCUCGACCCUCGAGGUAGGGAUGGUGUGCCAGGUCUGA